This 63-nucleotide transfer RNA is filed under the name Pyrrhopeplus posthumus. RNAcentral's name for it is "tRNA-Trp". RNAcentral also lists the same sequence under 2 other names. The record is from RNAcentral. Lineage: Eukaryota; Metazoa; Arthropoda; Insecta; Hemiptera; Pyrrhocoridae.
AAAGCUUUAAGUUAAAUAAACUAUUAACCUUCAAAGUUAAAAAUAUGUUAGGCAUAAGCUUUA